UUAACUCAUAUUUGUAUGGAGUUGGAACAGCGACCCUAGCGGCAAACGUGGGCAAACGUUCCAACUCCAUACAAAUUUGAGUUA
Molecule: microRNA precursor, 84 nt
Filed under: Bombyx mori (domestic silkworm)
Lineage: Eukaryota; Metazoa; Arthropoda; Insecta; Lepidoptera; Bombycidae
Description: mir-2807 microRNA precursor family
Rfam family: mir-2807 microRNA precursor family
Source: Rfam by way of RNAcentral